RNAcentral lists this long non-coding RNA (622 nucleotides) under Heterocephalus glaber (naked mole-rat). RNAcentral's name for it is "lncRNA (ENSHGLG00000047871.1)". The record is from RNAcentral. Lineage: Eukaryota; Metazoa; Chordata; Mammalia; Rodentia; Bathyergidae.
CCGCCACUCACAAAUGCAGGUGCCGAGCCAGACAGCAGGUGCGUGACCAAGGAAGAGGAGACCCACCCUGUGUAUGUCAUGCUAAUUGUGACACUUUCCGGGUCACAGUGCAGCCAGCAAUACUGUCCCUCUGUGCCCUUUGUAUUCCUGGAGGAAGGAGCUUCUCAGGCUGGCGACUUCUGCGGCUGUCCUGCCCUCUGCUGGCCAGCGAGGCUGACGCACCGCGGAGCUCCACACGUCCAGGAUGACGCCAACUGCUUACCACUAGGGAAGACUUAACUUCUCAAGACUAUUACAUUUUAAAACAGAGACUCAGUCGUUUUCUGACCAGCAUCUGUAAUGGCUCCGUGAACUCUCUCAUGCCGGAGGCCCUUCAGUCUCAUGCGUUCUGGCUGAAGUGAAGAUGGAGACGUGGAGUAGGAAUGUCACGUGACACAAGCUGCAUGGGAGAUAUCUACAAGAACAGAAGGUAAAAAGAUCAAGUCUUGUCCGUGGUUAUGAGCCAGUGAGCGCAAGACUAUAUCUCAGACCAGUUCUACUGAGCGCCCCUAAACGCCUCCUUUCUGGUUUUUCCUUUUCCAUCAUGACCUCUUCCCUUUUUACGGGGUUCCAAGUUUUUAAA